RNAcentral lists this ribosomal RNA (144 nucleotides) under Vibrio parahaemolyticus. Its description in RNAcentral is "partial 16S ribosomal RNA". It matches the Rfam family "Bacterial small subunit ribosomal RNA", at positions 370 to 507 of the family's 1533-position model. The record is from RNAcentral. Lineage: Bacteria; Pseudomonadati; Pseudomonadota; Gammaproteobacteria; Vibrionales; Vibrionaceae.
CAUGGGCGCAGCCUGAUGCAGCCAUGCCGCGUGUGUGAAGAAGGCCUUCGGGUUGUAAAGYACUUUCAGUCGUGAGGAAGGUGGUGUUGUUAAUAGCUGUAUCAUUUGACGUUAGCGACAGAAGAAGCACCGGCUAACUCCGUG